UGAGGCAAGGGAGGAGCAGCCUGUCAG
This 27-nucleotide non-coding RNA is filed under the name Mus musculus (house mouse). Lineage: Eukaryota; Metazoa; Chordata; Mammalia; Rodentia; Muridae. The record is from RNAcentral.